UUAGGAAUAUUCGUCAAUGGAGGAAACUCUGAACGAGCAAUGCCGCGUGAAGGAUGACGGUCCUAUGGAUUGUAAACUUCUGUUGUUAGGGAAGAACGACUUAAGUAGGAAAUGACUUAAGAGUGACGGUACCUUUCAAGAAAGCUCCGGCUAACUACGUGCCAGCAGCCGCGGUAAUACGUAGGGAGCAAGCGUUAUCCGGAUUUAUUGGGUGUAAAGGGUACGUAGGCGGCCUCAUAAGUCUGUGGUUUAAGCCCGAAGCUUAACUUCGGUUCGCCACAGAAACUGUUUGGCUUGAGUAUGGUAGAGGCAAGUGGAAUUUCUAGUGUAGCGGUUAAAUGCGUAGAUAUUAGAAGGAACACCAGUGGCGAAGGCGACUUGCUGGGCCAUUACUGACGCUGAGGUACGAAAGCGUGGGGAGCAAAUA
RNAcentral lists this ribosomal RNA (427 nucleotides) under uncultured bacterium. RNAcentral's name for it is "bacterial SSU rRNA". It matches the Rfam family "Bacterial small subunit ribosomal RNA", at positions 355 to 774 of the family's 1533-position model. The record is from RNAcentral.